UCUGACUNGAGUGCGGAAGGGGAGAGUGGAAUUCCAUGUGUAGCGGUGAAAUGCGUAGAUAUAUGGAGGAACACCAGUGGCGAAAGCGGCUCUCUGGUCUGUCACUGACGCUGAGGCUCGAAAGCGUGGGUAGCGAACAGGAUUAGAUACCCUGGUAGUCCACGCCGUAAACGAUGAGUGCUAGGUGUUAGGCCCUUUCCGGGGCUUAGUGCCGGAGCUAACGCAAUAAGCACUCCGCCUGGGGAGUACGACCGCAAGGUUGAAACUCAAAGGAAUUGACGGGGGCCCGCACAAGCGGUGGAGCAUGUGGUUUAAUUCGAAGCAACGCGAAGAACCUUACCAGGUCUUGACAUCCCGAUGCUAUUCUUAGAGAUAGGAAGUUACUUCGGUACAUCGGAGACAGGUGGUGCAUGGUUGUCGUCAGCUCGUGUCGUGGGAUGUUAGGUUAAGUCCCGCAACGAGCGCAACCCUUAUUGUUAGUUGCCAUCAUUAAGUUGGGCACUCUAGCGAGACUGCCGGUAAUAAACCGGAGGAAGGUGGGGAUGACGUCAAAUCAUCAUGCCCCUUAUGACCUGGGCUACACACGUGCUACAAUGGUCGGUACAACGAGUUGCGAGCCGGUGACGGCAAGCUAAUCUCUGAAAGCCGAUCUCAGUUCGGAUUGGAGGCUGCAACUCGCCUCCAUGAAGUCGGAAUCGCUAGUAAUCGCGGAUCAGCACGCCGCGGUGAAUACGUUCCCGGGCCUUGUACACACCGCCCGUCACACCACGAGAGUUUGUAACACCCGAAGUCGGUGAGGUANCCUUUUAGGG
RNAcentral lists this ribosomal RNA (812 nucleotides) under uncultured bacterium. Its description in RNAcentral is "bacterial SSU rRNA". It matches the Rfam family "Bacterial small subunit ribosomal RNA", at positions 636 to 1447 of the family's 1533-position model. The record is from RNAcentral.